GGAGGGUUACCGAAGUGGUCAUAACGGGGCGGUCUUGAAAACCGUUAGAGCGAGAGCUCACAGGGGUUCGAGUCCCUUACCCUCCGCCA
This 89-nucleotide transfer RNA is filed under the name Eubacteriales bacterium. RNAcentral's name for it is "tRNA-Ser". It matches the Rfam family "tRNA". From Rfam's summary of the family: Transfer RNA (tRNA) molecules are approximately 80 nucleotides in length. Lineage: Bacteria; Bacillati; Bacillota; Clostridia; Eubacteriales. The record is from RNAcentral.